AUGGAUGCCUGCGCUCUGAACUCGAUGGAGGUGAAGGCCAAGCCGGCGAGGGGAGGGAAGAGCGGCAGGGGGAGCGGCGGCACGGCCGGGGUACUGCUGGAGAAGAAGGAGUCGGAGAAGGAGAGGAGGAAGCGCAUGAAGGCGCUGUGCGAGAAACUCGCAUCCCUUAUCCCAAGAGAACACUGUUGCUGCAACGCUGAUACAAUGACCCAGCUAGGCAGCCUGGAUGCGGGGGCGUCAUACAUUAAGAAGUUGAAGGAGAGGAUCGAUGAACUACAACGUAGGAGGAGCUCUAUACAAGCCUUGGAUACCAUAAGAGGAGAUACUAGCAUUCCAACGCCCACCACCAUCACUAUCAUGAGCAGCGGUGCAGGGUCACCAGAAGAAGGGAAAGCUUGGGAGGAAUUAGCACCGGUAUUGCAGGUGCGAGAACACAACGGUUCAACGAUGGAGGUGAGGUUGAUAUGCUGCAUGGAGAGGCCGAUCAAGCUCCACGAGGUGAUCACCAUCCAUGAGGAAGAAGGUGCAACGAUUGUCAAUGCCAAUCACUCUAUUGCUGGCCACAAAAUGGUCUAUACUAUACAUUCUCAGGCCUUCAGCUCUAGAAUUGGCAUAGACGUUUCAAGGGUUUCUGAGCGAUUGGGAGCCUUGGCACUACCAUGCAUGCACGGCAAUCAGGUCCUCAGGUACACCGACCAGUCCAAUGUGUCUCCUCCCAAGGAGCUUGUCAGCAACAAUGAUAUAGGUGGAACCGAGAAGGUGUCACACCCCGAGUGUGAAACAUUGGUUGGGCAAGACCAAGCGAUGUGGAGUUCCAUGCUUGCGUCAAUAUCACCAGAAAUAUUCAAGUAG
RNAcentral lists this ribosomal RNA (852 nucleotides) under Triticum aestivum (bread wheat). Its description in RNAcentral is "partial small subunit ribosomal RNA". The record is from RNAcentral. Lineage: Eukaryota; Viridiplantae; Streptophyta; Magnoliopsida; Poales; Poaceae.